Molecule: ribosomal RNA, 200 nt
Filed under: Arabidopsis thaliana (thale cress)
Lineage: Eukaryota; Viridiplantae; Streptophyta; Magnoliopsida; Brassicales; Brassicaceae
Description: 5.8S ribosomal RNA
Rfam family: 5.8S ribosomal RNA (bases 6-161)
About the family: 5.8S ribosomal RNA (5.8S rRNA) is a component of the large subunit of the eukaryotic ribosome. It is transcribed by RNA polymerase I as part of the 45S precursor that also contains 18S and 28S rRNA. Functionally, it is thought that 5.8S rRNA may be involved in ribosome translocation.
Source: RNAcentral
AAAACGACUCUCGGCAACGGAUAUCUCGGCUCUCGCAUCGAUGAAGAACGUAGCGAAAUGCGAUACUUGGUGUGAAUUGCAGAAUCCCGUGAACCAUCGAGUCUUUGAACGCAAGUUGCGCCCCAAGCCUUCUGGCCGAGGGCACGUCUGCCUGGGUGUCACAAAUCGUCGUCCCCCCCAUCCUUUUGGAUAAGGGACGG